GAGUUUGAUCAACAGUGAGACGGAAGAGAUCGGGGCUGAGCUUCACUGUUCUAAGGUUUCUCAACAUGAGGAGCUCAUCUGAUUGGCCAAAGGAGGUCGGCAAGAUGUUAAAACCAGCAAUGGCAGCAAUGAGAGACGUUUUCUCUCUCUUCGAAGCACGCGAAACAGUGACUCUUGAUGUUGCUUGCACCGGCGAGGGGUGGAGCGAGGCAAUGAUGGCCUAAAAUGAGUGUUAGAUGGUGAAAUGGGAUUAAUUGACGGUGAAUGGGUGAAGAAAUGGGUGGUGACAAUGGUGUAUGACGAGAGAGAAGGAGUGAGGUAGGAGGAGGGGCCAAGUUGAAUUUUUUUUUUUCAA
This 355-nucleotide long non-coding RNA is filed under the name Ricinus communis (castor bean). RNAcentral's name for it is "long non-coding RNA (RCOM_LNC001822)". Lineage: Eukaryota; Viridiplantae; Streptophyta; Magnoliopsida; Malpighiales; Euphorbiaceae. The record is from RNAcentral.